CGCAGAUUUAAAUUUAUACUCAAAAAAAACCACUACACAUGCAAAGGGAACAAUAUCCUGCUAUCAUAACUUCAUUUGCUGCUGCAUUUGUCUAAUAUUAACAAUUAUGAACAGAGCAGUGCAACUAGUAUUUGGAACAAUCCUUACAGUGUUCGAGUGUCAGGCACAAUGCUUCACUUCUCUUCACACCACUGGUUCUCCUUACGUACCUGUGCUUCUUCCUCCUCAGUGAAGUCAUUCUUAAUAUUGAAUGUCUUGCGAAUUUCUUCUGGAGUUUUCCCCUUGAUCAUGUUGGCAACUGUCUUGCAUGUGACAUCAAGCAAACCUUUGAUGUCCAAGUAAUUUGCAGCCAGGAUGAGUUCAAAAAGUGUUCCUUGGUCUACUUUCAGAAAUUCUUGAUCCCACACAGGGAUGUCAUCCGUUCUUUUCUCCUUGUUCUCAUCAUCCUCAGGAGGAGGUGGAUCAUCUUUGUGAUGGGUGCACCACUGAAUCACCUUUUUUAAAAUAGCUGCGUUGACAUUUGGAAGAGGGACUGGGUCAUCAUCGCCUUCAUCAUCCAUUCCCAGGUCUUCCAGCAUAGUCUUUAUGGUUACGGACUGUUUUGCAAUUUCAACAUCAACUUCAAAAAUCUCUCCAUCUGAACUCUGCAGCUUAAUUGAAGGCAUCUCCAGAUGUGUUCCGGUCCAAC
This 688-nucleotide long non-coding RNA is filed under the name Gallus gallus (chicken). The record is from RNAcentral. Lineage: Eukaryota; Metazoa; Chordata; Aves; Galliformes; Phasianidae.